This 22-nucleotide unclassified non-coding RNA is filed under the name Mus musculus (house mouse). RNAcentral describes it as "oocyte_clustered_small_RNA8688". Lineage: Eukaryota; Metazoa; Chordata; Mammalia; Rodentia; Muridae. The record is from RNAcentral.
UGUUGCAGGAAAUCCAGCGUGG